RNAcentral lists this transfer RNA (72 nucleotides) under Camelus bactrianus (Bactrian camel). It matches the Rfam family "tRNA". Rfam says of the family: Transfer RNA (tRNA) molecules are approximately 80 nucleotides in length. RNAcentral also lists the same sequence under 2 other names. Lineage: Eukaryota; Metazoa; Chordata; Mammalia; Artiodactyla; Camelidae. The record is from Rfam by way of RNAcentral.
GAGGGUACUGCUCAGUGGUAGAGUGCAUGCUUAGCAUUCAGGAGGUCCUGGGUUCAUUCCCCAGUACCUACA